CUAAGCAUAUCAAUAAGCGGAGGAAAAGAAACCAACAGGGAUUGCCCCAGUAACGGCGAGUGAAGCGGCAACAGCUCAAAUUUGAAAUCUGGCCUCGGCCCGAGUUGUAAUUUGCAGAGGAAGCUUUAGGCGCGGCACCAACUGAGUCCCCUGGAACGGGGCGCCAUAGAGGGUGAGAGCCCCGUAUAGUUGGACGCCUAGCCUGUGUAAAGCUCCUUCGACGAGUCGAGUAGUUUGGGAAUGCUGCUCAAAAUGGGAGGUAAAUUUCUUCUAAAGCUAAAUACCGGCCAGAGACCGAUAGCGCACAAGUAGAGUGAUCGAAAGAUGAAAAGCACUUUGAAAAGAGGGUUAAAUAGCACGUGAAAUUGUUGAAAGGGAAGCGCUUGUGACCAGACUUGCGCCGGGCCGAUCAUCCGGUGUUCUCACCGGUGCACUCGGCCCGGCUCAGGCCAGCAUCGGUUCUCGUGGGGGGAUAAAGGUCCCGGGAACGUAGCUCCUCCGGGAGUGUUAUAGCCCGGGGCGUAAUGCCCUCGCGGGGACCGAGGUUCGCGCAUCUGCAAGGAUGCUGGCGUAAUGGUCAUCAGCGACCCGUCUUGAAACACGGACCAAGGAGUCAAGGUUUUGCGCGAGUGUUUGGGUGUAAAACCCGCACGCGUAAUGAAAGUGAACGUAGGUGAGAGCUUCGGCGCAUCAUCGACCGAUCCUGAUGUCUUCGGAUGGAUUUGAGUAAGAGCGUUAAGCCUUGGACCCGAAAGAUGGUGAACUAUGCUUGGAUAGGGUGAAGCCAGAGGAAACUCUGGUGGAGGCUCGCAGCGGUUCUGACGUGCAAAUCGAUCGUCAAAUCUGAGCAUGGGGGCGAAAGACUAAUCGAACCAUCUAGUAGCUGGUUACCGCCGAAGUUUCCCUCAGGAUAGCAGUGUUGUUCUUCAGUUUUAUGAGGUAAAGCGAAUGAUUAGGGACUCGGGGGCGCUUUUUAGCCUUCAUCCAUUCUCAAACUUUAAAUAUGUAAGAAGCCCUUGUUACUUAAUUGAACGUGGGCAUUCGAAUGUACCAACACUAGUGGGCCAUUUUUGGUAAGCAGAACUGGCGA
RNAcentral lists this ribosomal RNA (1090 nucleotides) under Chaetomium microascoides. RNAcentral describes it as "eukaryotic LSU rRNA". It matches the Rfam family "Eukaryotic large subunit ribosomal RNA", at positions 34 to 1156 of the family's 3401-position model. The record is from RNAcentral. Lineage: Eukaryota; Fungi; Ascomycota; Sordariomycetes; Sordariales; Chaetomiaceae.